AACGAACGCUGGCGGCAUGCCUAACACAUGCAAGUCGAACGAGACCUUCGGGUCUAGUGGCGCACGGGUGCGUAACGCGUGGGAACCUGCCCUUAGGUUCGGAAUAACUCCCCGAAAGGGGUGCUAAUACCGGAUAAUGUCUUCGGACCAAAGAUUUAUCGCCUUUGGAUGGGCCCGCGUUGGAUUAGCUAGUUGGUAGGGUAAAAGCCUACCAAGGCGACGAUCCAUAGCUGGUCUGAGAGGAUGAUCAGCCACACUGGGACUGAGACACGGCCCAGACUCCUACGGGAGGCAGCAGUGGGGAAUAUUGGACAAUGGGCGGAAGCCUGAGCCAGCAAUGCCGCGUGAGUGAUGAAGGCCUUAGGGUUGUAAAGCUCUUUUAGCCGGGAUGAUAAUGACAGUACCGGGAGAAUAAGCCCCGGCUAACUCCGUG
Molecule: ribosomal RNA, 433 nt
Filed under: uncultured bacterium
Lineage: Bacteria
Description: partial 16S ribosomal RNA
Rfam family: Bacterial small subunit ribosomal RNA
Source: RNAcentral